RNAcentral lists this ribosomal RNA (744 nucleotides) under Amplirhagada mitchelliana. RNAcentral's name for it is "partial 16S ribosomal RNA". It matches the Rfam family "Archaeal large subunit ribosomal RNA", at positions 788 to 2627 of the family's 2987-position model. Lineage: Eukaryota; Metazoa; Mollusca; Gastropoda; Stylommatophora; Camaenidae. The record is from RNAcentral.
CACGAAACCAGGCGAGCUACUGUGGGGCGCAUAAUAGUGUAAGGUAUGUAGCAUAAUAUAAAUAGACCCCGCAGUAGGAGUGAAAGGCUUUCAAGUCUGGUGAUAUCUUGUUAACUUUGAGAUGUAUUAAGUACUUUGUCAAUCUAUUAGUGAUAAGGCUAAUAGAAACUAUAUAAUUUGUUUGUCCUUCACUAACAUAGUUUAAUCGCUAGUGCUUUUAUGGAACGAAUAUAAAUAUCUAUUGUUAGUAGAUAAUAAAAGUCAAUAUUAGUAUUUUAAUGAGUAUUUAUAUUGUACGUAUUAGUAAUUUAGGUACUGUUGAUGAACUCGGCAAUAUUUUCUUCACCUGUUUAUCAAAAACAUCGCCAGUAGAUGGUACUAUUGGUUAAUUCUGCUCCAUGUACUAUAAAUAGCCGCAGUACUCUGACUGUGCAAAGGUAGCGUAAUCAUUUGGCUUAUAAUUGAAGUCUGGCAUGAAUGAAUACAUGGGGGAAAACUCUAUUAGCGACACUUGUUGAAUUUACUUAUUGGGUGCAAAUUCCCAAAACUAAACAAAAGACGAGAAGACCCUUGAAAUUUUUAUGAUCCGUUGAACUAAGUUUUUGUUGGGGCAACAUGGUAGCAUGCAACCUACAGUAGUGUACACGACACACACAGUAGUUAGAUUAAAUUACUCUAGGGAUAACAGCGUAAUUCUUAAGUGUUUGCGACCUCGAUGUUGGACUAGGGAGCCACUGCUUAAAA